Molecule: long non-coding RNA, 601 nt
Organism: Gopherus evgoodei (Goodes thornscrub tortoise)
Lineage: Eukaryota; Metazoa; Chordata; Testudines; Testudinidae
Exons: 3
Source: RefSeq, a predicted model, not a curated record
CCGGCGGGGUGGAGCGAUGCCCGCGCGGCCCCGCCUCCCAGGACGGCAGCGGAGACCGAAGGGUCCUGGUGGGAGGUGACGCCAGGAGGCGCAGUUCUGUGUAAGCAGCAGAGUCCCGUGGCCCCUUACAGCCUAGCAGACGUAUUGGAGCAUGAGCUCUGGUGGGUGAAUACCCACUCCCUGGGAUGUUGUGUUUGUUACCAGCACUUGUCAGCUGCGCACAGCGCUGCUGGUCAGCCUCACCCGCGGAGGAAAGGCUCGCUCUCCGGCUUUUACAAAUGGGGAAACUGAGGCACGGUGCCUUGGCUUGGGCCACGCAGAGCGCGGAGAAGGCAAGAGUCCGGAGUUCCUGCCCUCUGUUUCGUAAGCACUGGACACUGCCUCUCUUCUUGCAGUGCCAUUAGCCUCACCAGUCCAUGAUGUUAGUAGACAAAGCUGCCGAAAAACCCAGAAUGUUGAAACUGAUUUCAGUGGCUGUACAUAGAGCUAAUCCUCCCAUGACAGGAAUGAGAGACAGAUUCACCAGCAAUCCUCAUGAUCAGGCUAUCAAGUCUUAGAAGAAAAUCUUGCCUAAACACAGCUUUUGAAGUGCUCCGGAUAG